GCCUGGGUAGCUUAGUCGGUUGAGCGUCCGACUUCAGCUCAGGUCAUGAUCUUACGGCUCGUGAGUUCGAGCCCCACGUCAGGCU
RNAcentral lists this transfer RNA (85 nucleotides) under Felis catus (domestic cat). It matches the Rfam family "tRNA". Rfam says of the family: Transfer RNA (tRNA) molecules are approximately 80 nucleotides in length. Their secondary structure includes four short double-helical elements and three loops (D, anti-codon, and T loops). Lineage: Eukaryota; Metazoa; Chordata; Mammalia; Carnivora; Felidae. The record is from Rfam by way of RNAcentral.